This 88-nucleotide long non-coding RNA is filed under the name Triticum aestivum (bread wheat). RNAcentral describes it as "lncRNA IsrR". It matches the Rfam family "Antisense RNA which regulates isiA expression", at positions 1 to 90 of the family's 187-position model. The record is from RNAcentral. Lineage: Eukaryota; Viridiplantae; Streptophyta; Magnoliopsida; Poales; Poaceae. RNAcentral also lists the same sequence under 1 other name.
AAUAACCAAAUAUAACACUGGGACUAAGGGUCUAAUUGGUAAUUUUUCUUACAUCUCCCCCCAGGGGCCCAUGUAUCAUAUACACGGC